CCUACGGGAGGCUGCAGUGAGGAAUAUUGGUCAAUGGCCGAGAGGCUGAACCAGCCAAGUCGCGUGAGGGAAGACGGCCCUACGGGUUGUAAACCUCUUUUGUCGGGGAGCAAAGCGAACCACGUGUGGUUCAUUGAGAGUACCCGAAGAAAAAGCAUCGGCUAACUCCGUGCCAGCAGCCGCGGUAAUACGGAGGAUGCGAGCGUUAUCCGGAUUUAUUGGGUUUAAAGGGUGCGUAGGCGGGUUAUCAAGUCAGCGGUAAAAUCGUGGAGCUCAACUCCAUCCAGCCGUUGAAACUGAUGAUCUUGAGUGAGCGAGAGGUAUGGGGAAUGCGUGGUGUAGCGGUGAAAUGCAUAGAUAUCACGAAGAACUCCGAUUGCGAAGGCAGCAUACCGGCGAUCAACUGACGCUCAUGCACGAAAGUGUGGGUAUCGAACAGGAUUAGAUACCCUAGUAGUC
This 459-nucleotide ribosomal RNA is filed under the name uncultured bacterium. RNAcentral describes it as "partial 16S ribosomal RNA". It matches the Rfam family "Bacterial small subunit ribosomal RNA", at positions 338 to 795 of the family's 1533-position model. The record is from RNAcentral.